ACUCCUACGGGAGGCAGCAGUGGGGAAUAUUGCGCAAUGGGCGAAAGCCUGACGCAGCGACGCCGCGUGAGGGAUGACGGCCUUCGGGUUGUAAACCUCUUUCAGCAGGGACGAAAAUGACGGUACCUGCAGAAGAAGCACCGGCUAACUACGUGCCAGCAGCCGCGGUAAU
This 172-nucleotide ribosomal RNA is filed under the name uncultured bacterium. RNAcentral describes it as "partial 16S ribosomal RNA". It matches the Rfam family "Bacterial small subunit ribosomal RNA", at positions 335 to 524 of the family's 1533-position model. The record is from RNAcentral.